CUUGCUCCUGAUGUUACGGCGGANGGGUGAGUACACGUGGGUACCUGCCUGUAAGACUGGGAUAACUCCGGGAAACCGGGGCUAAUACCGGAUGGUUGUNUGAACCGCAUGGUUCAGACAUAAAAGGUGGCUUCGGCUACCACUUACAGAUGGACCCGCGGCGCAUUAGCUAGUUGGUGAGGUAACGGCUCACCAAGGCGACGAUGCGUAGCCGACCUGAGAGGGUGAUCGGCCACACUGGGAACUGAGACACGGCCCAGACUCCUACGGGAGGCAGCAGUAGGGAAUCUUCCGCAAUGGACGAAAGUCUGACGGAGCAACGCCGCGUGAGUGAUGAAGGUUUUCGGAUCGUAAAGCUCUGUUGUUAGGGAAGAACAAGUGCCGUUCAAAUAGGGCGGCACCUUGACGGUACCUAACCAGAAAGCCACGGCUAACUACGUGCCAA
RNAcentral lists this ribosomal RNA (445 nucleotides) under Bacillus subtilis. RNAcentral describes it as "bacterial SSU rRNA". It matches the Rfam family "Bacterial small subunit ribosomal RNA", at positions 80 to 511 of the family's 1533-position model. The record is from RNAcentral. Lineage: Bacteria; Bacillati; Bacillota; Bacilli; Caryophanales; Bacillaceae.